This 497-nucleotide ribosomal RNA is filed under the name uncultured bacterium. RNAcentral's name for it is "partial 16S ribosomal RNA". It matches the Rfam family "Bacterial small subunit ribosomal RNA", at positions 28 to 507 of the family's 1533-position model. The record is from RNAcentral.
GAUGAACGCUGGCGGCGUGCCUAAUACAUGCAAGUCGAGCGAACAGACGAGGAGCUUGCUCCUCUGACGUUAGCGGCGGACGGGUGAGUAACACGUGGAUAACCUACCUAUAAGACUGGGAUAACUUCGGGAAACCGGAGCUAAUACCGGAUAAUAUAUUGAACCGCAUGGUUCAAUAGUGAAAGACGGUUUUGCUGUCACUUAUAGAUGGAUCCGCGCCGCAUUAGCUAGUUGGUAAGGUAACGGCUUACCAAGGCGACGAUGCGUAGCCGACCUGAGAGGGUGAUCGGCCACAUUGGAACUGGGACACGGACCAGACUCCUGCGGGAGGGCGCAGUAGGGAAUGUUCCGCAAUGGGCGAAAGCCUGACGGAGCAAGGCCGCGUGAGUGAUGAAGGUGUUCGGAUCGUAAAGCUCUGUUAUUAGGGAAGAACAAAUGUGUAAGUAACUAUGCACGUCUUGACGGUACCUAAUCAGAAAGCCACGGCUAACUACGUG